This 454-nucleotide ribosomal RNA is filed under the name uncultured bacterium. Its description in RNAcentral is "bacterial SSU rRNA". It matches the Rfam family "Bacterial small subunit ribosomal RNA", at positions 37 to 507 of the family's 1533-position model. The record is from RNAcentral.
UGGCGGCGUGCCUAACACAUGCAAGUCGAACGGAGUUAAGUCUUCGGAUUUAACUUAGUGGCGAACGGGUGAGUAACGCGUGAGAAACCUGCCUUUCAGUGGGGGACAACAGUUGGAAACGACUGCUAAUACCGCAUAAUGUUAUUUGGGGGCAUCCCUGAAUAACCAAAGAUUUAUUGCUGAAAGAUGGUCUCGCGUCUGAUUAGCUAGUUGGUGAGGUAACGGCUCACCAAGGCGACGAUCAGUAGCCGGUCUGAGAGGAUGAACGGCCACAUUGGGACUGAGAUACGGUCCAAACUCCUACGGGAGGCAGCAGUGGGGAAUAUUGGGCAAUGGGCGCAAGCCUGACCCAGCAACGCCGCGUGAAGGAAGAAGGCUUUCGGGUUGUAAACUUCUUUUAACAGGGACGAAGAAAGUGACGGUACCUGUUGAAUAAGCCACGGCUAACUACGUG